Coturnix japonica (Japanese quail) is the source of this 8970-nucleotide non-coding RNA. Lineage: Eukaryota; Metazoa; Chordata; Aves; Galliformes; Phasianidae. The record is from RefSeq and is a predicted model, not a curated record.
GGGCCGUGCCGGGGGGCGGGACCGCGCUGCGGGGCUCAAAAUGGAGGCGGCCGGCCCGGCGGGGAGCGGAUGCUACGAGCGGUCCAGCCGCGGGACGCCCCGCCGGGUGGCAGGGAUGUCGGCACGGUGCUGUCGGGGCGCCGCGGUGCGGAGCCGUGAGUCCGGACACCCGCACAGGUGCCCGUCCUACAAUUAACCUCUCUGCUCGGGGCAGGGUGCUGCUGCUCCGUGCAGAAGCGAAGGGCCAAUCAUCCUUGGAGCCGAGAUGAGGAUGGAUGCGCAACCCGCUUAAGCGUGACUGGAGGAGAUGCGGCCAGGGCAGGAGGGGAAAUUUUCCACUGUCGUCACUGCUCGGCAUGUUGACUGCCGUGCCAAACCUGCAGGGCAGAGCAGGCUGCUCUCGGAUGGAAGCAGUGAAUCCUGAGGUCAGUGGGCUGUAGAGUGCUACCAGGGGCAAUCGGGCUGAGAAAGUCCAGCUGUGCUUCCGGUUCUGAGGUGGGAGCCAGCCCUACUUCUCACAUCUGCUCCUCACUCACCCAGCGUGCAGAGCAUCUGAUUGCUGUGCCCCUAAGCUGGGAGUACGGCCCCUCCUGCUCCUUCCCCAUGGGGCUGCCUGCAUGCUAGGGUUCGCUUCAUUAACAGCUGUGAAAGCUGGAAAGUAGCACAGAUAGAGCUGACUGCUAAGUAGCGCUGGGAAAGAGGGGGGCUGAACUGGUUUUGCGUCUGAAAGCUCAGCAAAGCACAAGACUAAGCUAUGGAACAAAGAUACAGAAGAUCUAAGGCUCCCCAAAUUGAUCAGUUGGGUAAAAGUCAAAUCCACACUUGAAAUGCACAGCCAGCAGCAGUGAAUGAAGACCUAGGGGCUGGGCAGAAAUCAUACCUACAAGAGGACAACUGGGUCCCAGGACUAAGCUAACUAGCACACAAUGCCUUUGUAGAACACCAGUAUGCCUCCCUCUGUGCUGGCUGGGCAGCUGUGCUCCUUUGGCUGCUGCAGUCCAAGCCCAGCCUGCAGGCACAGGCACCCCCAAGCAUAGCACUGAAAGCUCCCACAUCCCCAGGUGGUGAGGACACCCAGGUGGGCUGGGCUCUGCCUGCAGAGCAUGGCUACAGGGGUUGUCAGGGAGAUGAAGGCUUCCAGCAGCUGUGUUUGCCCAGCAGGGCAGCAUCACUGCCUUAGCUCAGUGGCAGGGGCACAGCGAGGCAUGCUGGUGAGGGGGAUGUGGUGUUCAGCUGUGAAAGCACAAGCUUUAAGUGUUUUGCUUUCUUUUGCAGGAAACUCUUGAGUGUUUACACGCAUUAUCUUGUAGCAGAUAAAGUUUGUGUCUGACUCAAGCUGCCACCUGCUCUCAGGCAUCGUGAUGCCUUUGUCUUAGGACUUCUGCAGCCAAAGAGGGAGAAAAUGUGGUUCCCAUGGAUGUCCCUUCCUGGUGUUGCCCACAGACUCACAGGGCCUUUUGCCCCUGAAGCUCCAAGACCUUUUUUCUGUGCUGCUGGAGCAGCCCCUGGGCUCUGGGAAGCCCCUUUGAAGCUUGCCAGCCCUUCCCCUCCCCUGCUGUACUUAGGAAAUGCGUGUGCUCCUGCAGCACUAAAAUUAGCUGGCCAGCUGUGCAUGCAGAGGAGCUUCAGUUCCCAGGUGGGGGACCCAGGUUUGUAGAGGAGGCAGCAUCCUAUAUAGGUUAAUGGGACUAGCGCUGGCUAUUGCAGGGAGAAAAUAUGCUUUCCUCAUUUCUCUGCUGCUCAAGCUUUUAACAGGACCAAGGAGCCAAAGCCUACAGUGGACAGAGAGCAUGUUCUCCCACUGAGCCUGGCAAAAGUUGCCCAAGAGUAGCCCAGCCCCUCUGCCUUUUAUGUGUCAGCUCCCUGCCCAGCACUUCGCACGUUCCAGCUGCCCUGAGGCUCUGUGCAUGGACAGAGCUCCCAAGGGAGCAAUGGAGAAGCUGCAGCCUGUCCCUGGUGCACCACCUGGGAGAUGCCUUUUGCUCCCACUCCCCAGCACGGCACUGAUACAGAGGCGUCUGAAAAGCGGCUGUGGGAAGCUCCGCAGCUGCAGAGGGAACAGUCCAUUUUUAGCAGCUCAGCCUCCCCACUGCGGGCUGCAGGCAGCGAUGUGCAGGGAGGUGCUCCCGUACCAUCAGGUGCAGAGCUGCAGCCCCUGGCACCACAGCACUGGCCUGUACUAGGUGAGGAGCUCGACCCUACCCACAGCAGACUGCUGAGCUAUGUGCUUACUGCCCUAUCUCACACAGGCUGAGAUCUGAUGAGAUAAUAUGAUUGUGCCUGCUUGGGCACCUUUUGUGGUGGAAGCUGAGCUGCAGCACCUGCAUUAUGGGUACCCUGGCUGUAGGGUGCUGUGGGUAUCCAGCUCUAUGGUGCUGGGGACUUCACCAAGAGCCUGCAGAGGGACCUGCGGGGUUGAGAUGAUCCUGGAUAAUGCAGCACUGGGGGAGAGCAGAGGUUCAGGGUCUUCAUUUUGGACAUUUCUCUUCCAUGCUGGGUGCUGAAUGUCUUUUCUGGAGCUGGGUUUAAAAUUAGGGAAGAUUUUUUUUCUAGUUCCUUUCACAGGAGAAGCGUGGGCCAGGAGGGAGGACAGCCCUAUUGAGCACUGCUGGUAACCCCUUAAUGAUGGGGUGAGCAGCACAGCCAGGAAUAGACCUACAAAGGCUGAAAACAGAGCUCAGCUCUUUACCCCAUGUUGCCUCUUUUCAUAAGGCACCUCCCACAGGAGUGGCUCUGGCACCUCGUGGGAACCCAUUUCCCACAGCCCCAGUGCUCUCCAACCACAAUGCCUCACAGACACUGAUGAUUUCUGCCCUAUGAGCCCCAUGGGGAUGAGCCCUGUUCCCAGACUGCCUCAGCCACAGCCUGUACCAGGUCCCCAGCGCACCCAGAUCCUGUAGCCCGUGUCAACACCACUUCUUCUGUUCAUGCCUCAGCUCAAGGUCAGGCUGUCCCCUCUGUGCUGCAGGACUGUGAGGCAGCCAGCUCCUCCCUGCAAGCAGCAGCAGGGCUGUGCUGCUCCUGCAUUAGCCAGGGAGGCUGAGAAACAGCUACAAGACAGAGGGACACCAGGGAUGGAAAGACAUCCCCUAUGACCAGAGCAGCUGCCUGGAGGCUGAGGCUCCCAACAGUCCUGUGAGGAAGAGGCCAGCCUCUGUCCUCCCGCAGGAAGGGGCCAGCUCAGGCUGCUGGCAUCAGCUCCUGGCAGUGGCCAAGCACAGCCACUCUUAGACAUGUUGCCCUUCCCCAGACCUCAGCACCACAGAGAGAAAGCUGUGGGCCAAGGGAACGCCACUGACCCUGCCUUUUUCAGCAGCUUGAUAGAAGUGUGAGGAUGAACACCUUCACUGCAUCCCAUGGAGCCAUCAUGUGAUCCCACCCAAAGCUCUUGCCCUUGUUCCUGUAUCCUGGCUGGCGAGGGAGAGAACCAGUUUUACCUUGAGCAGCUCCUUGGGGAAGUCAGUGCCUCCGUUGAGCCCCUCCAAGUUACCAAUGAAGUCAGAGCAGGACAUUCUUUUCCCGAUGUUCUGGGGAAGUCAGGGCCAGCUCCUUUAGGAAGGACCUGAAGAAGCAGCAGCAGCAGCAGCGUUGGUCACACGUGAAGCCCAGCAGCAGUCCCCCCAACCCCUUUGCACAGUGACAGAGCUGUGGCUGUCCCCUCCUGCAGCCCCGACAUGAAGCCCUGCAUCCAACCCACAGCAUCCAGCCCUGACGGCACAUUGGGUUCUAGAAACUACAUCAGGGAGGAGGCAAGCUCCUUGUGCUGCUCUCGAGUGCAGCUUUCUGCCCAGAACAAGAAGACCAUAAUUCCUGCACUUGGCUUUUCCCAUCCACAAACUUCAAAGCACUUCACAGAGGGAAGAAGUGAGGCACAGAGAGUGAAGAUGAAGGAGAAACCCCCCCCCAGCCUCCGGCACAGCAUGGUGUGCUGGGGCUGCCUGUCAGCUCUCAGCCCCGCUGCCUUACAUGGCCAUGCUGGGAGCACGCUCUUGGCUGCUUCUAGCACUCUGACUCAGCCGCACACAAAUUAUCCCAACAAAAAGUAAGUUGAAUCUAAUCAACAACGAACGUUAAGCAAUUCUGACCUCGCCCAAAUUUUCUGGCAGACCUCGCACUGUUCCAAUCUGUUUUAUUUUUAAGUCUCUAAUUGACUUUUAAGAAGGCCUCCUCUCCUGAGCCAAUUACCCAGGCCGAUCUCCAGAGGCUCCACUCCUCCCACUAAGGACAAAGCUGCUCCUCACUGCCUUUGGGCUGCAGCUGGUGCUGUCCCAGAGGAGCCCCACACAGCAGGGACAGGCUGCCCCAUGCCUCAGGGAGCUCUUGGCAUCCCAGUGGGAUGGGGAAGUGUCUGGGCACAAAACUGCGGCUGGAUGUGGAUGUGGCAGACACAGUGCUAGCGUGUCAGUCCCAAGGGAGAUGCACUGGUCUUGAGCAAGUGUAAGGCCUGGCAGCUCCAGGCAGUGGCUGCUGAAACAGAGCUGCUGCACCCUCAGCCAGGACAGUGCUACCUCUCUUCAGGAGCAGGAGGUAAACGCAGUGGCACCUGCAGAUCACAGCUCAGAAAACAGCCUGCAAUCAUGGGAACACAGCACUAUCUCAGCCCAGCAGCUCCGAGGUUGCCUUUGUGGCCACAGACUGAGCUACAAAACCCAAAGUGCAUUGCUCCUCCAUCGCUCCCUGCAAAGCAAGCAGCUGCCCAGCCAUCCUCCAAAGACCUUUUCAUUCUUCUCAACCAAUAUCACUGAAAUCUCCCCAUACCAUUCUGGGCCUUGAUACCCUCACUGAAAGGCUGUCCUCCCUGCCACAGCUGCUGCGUGGUACCUCCUGCAGUGAACCCAGCACUCAGAGUCUCCUCUACAACCUCUUCCCAAGCUGCACUUUCCCACACAGUGCCAAGCUCCAGCUGUGGGGUCACCUACAAAACCUCCUUGAUCUUCCACAUCUCCAUCUCGCAGCAGGUUCCCAACCUGUGGCUUUGGCUCUUUCCUGGCUUCUUGAAACUAGCAUGCAGGGAUUGCAGUUUGUUUCCUAAAGUCAAUAUACUUGCAGGAUCUGCCAUCCCUUCCCUCACCGAGCCCCAAUUCUGAUUUUGGUCUUUAUAUCAGCAGAACAUGACCUUACGGUCAGGACAAGGCAGCUGUACAAGCAAUGACAAGCUCCCAGCCAGUCUACGAGGUGGACUUUUGUUCAAGCCACUACCAUGAUGCUAUAUGAGGACCACCAGUGUGGGCAGUUCAGCUGUGCCCCACUGAUGGCUGCCUUCUACUCCAGCUGGUUGGAGAAUGCCCAUUCUGCAAGGAGAAAAGCAGGAACCCAGCCCUCAAGCAAACAGCAAGCAGAGCAAAGAGCAUACGUCCACGUCUGAGGCAACUGAGGUGACACUAAUUUUCUUGCCAGUGACCUAAUGUCUCAGAGGAUUAUUUUAGUGUACUUUCUAAGUGACAUUUCAGUUUGGCUUGAAGAAACACGGAGAUCAUAAUUUUACUUUAGAUGUAUUUCCAACUCGAGCACCGGUUUGCACUUAAGGAAUAAUGAUCAAAUUUGGUAUUGUAUGAGCAUCUCCAGUGUGCCUGGCAUGAGUCACCGUGGAGCGGGCCCAGGGCGAGCGCAGCCCUGCCAGCACAGCACAGCCAGCGGUACCCACAGUGCCUGCAGCACAGCCCUGCUCCUGAUGGGCGCCCACUUGGUGGGCAGCAAGGGCCCCCACAGCUGCUUCCAGGGCCUCAGGGCAGGGUCUGGCAGCAAUAAAAUGCUUCUGGAGCAGUUCUGCAAUGAAAGAACUGAAGACAGUCGAUAUGUAGGGUCCACAUGCCUCACUUCUUGGUUCCAAAUACUCUUUAACAGAACCAUUUCUCUUCUGACCCUCAAAUAUUCCAGCUCCAGACUCUUAUUAAUCUUUUACCAGUCACAAAUAUGUCUCUUUUUUUGGGCCCAAAUUCUCACCCACCUGUGCACCAGCCAUGCCUUUCUGUGCCCACACCCUCCUGCCCAAGGCCCUGCUCCUUUCCUGCCUCCAGAUUCUCCCUCUCUGAGCCCCAUACUUCCUUCUCAAGGCGAAGCACACAGUUCCUGGACCCAAACACUCACUGUCUCACCUUGAGAUCCCUUCUCUGUCUGAGAGCUCAGAGCACUGCAGGAAGAACUGGAGCUCCUUCCUGCACUGCAGUGCAGUGUGUUGCUGCAGGAGCUCCGACCUCCACCUUGCCACAGGGAGCUUGCUCAGCACUGUGGGGCAGCAACAAGCUGUCAGCUCAGCAAAGCCUGCCCUAGGGUGCCCACCAACCCUCACUGCCAACAGGGAUGUAAGUGCAUGGUGGAACCCUCACCAGCACCCUGUUCCUUGAGACUACUCAGCCAGGAGCCCACUGCACCCAGACAGGGGCAUUCUGUUGAGCCCCCAUGUCACCCAGGUCCUGUUGCCAUGUGAGACACCUGCUGCAAGCAAUUCAAAAACACCUACCACGAACCACUUGUUCCCUAAAAAGGACCACAGGGAACCUGGAUUAAUUCCUGCAGCAUGGAUGGGGCAGGGAGCCCAGUCUGAGGCAGGGAGGUGCAUGGGGCAGCCCAGCACCACCUCAGUUUUGGUGCCCCACACGUGUGGCUCUGUGCCCGACCCUUCUGCCCAGCACACCCAGCCUGCCUAAUAUCACUGCUAAGAAUGUACCAGACCGGAUCUUUGGCUGAGCUAAAUAAAUGCGGCUCCCUCCACUGGUCUCAGUGGAGUGACUUUGAUUUAUGACAGCUGAGAUCUGGGCUGGUUCAUUCCUUGCAAAAUUGAAGUUGGGCUGGGAGGACACUUGAAGGUCAGCCAGGCCAGCCUCCAAGCGUGGGCAGAACCGGUGCUGCUGUCCUCGUCCGGCAGCUGUGCCCAGCCGGCUCCCAGAUCGCCCAGCAGCCCUGCCAACAUCGCUGCGCCCACAGACAGGCACCAGAGGUGACACAAAAGACAGAUCCCCACACGCCCACCCCAUACUAAGCCUAUCAGGAUAACACAGACUGUGGCCAGAAGUAAUUCAGGUUUGGUUGGAUACCCAAGAGAAAGCCAAGCUGCUUCCAGCACUUCUCAGGGCCCACUGGGGAAGCCUGAAAGGGUUCAGGACCCUCCAGUAUUGCACAAGAUGUUGUUGGGUGAGAGGAGAUCUUGUGGGGAGGCAAUGCAAGCAGGAAGCUCAGCACUAGUGUGACCGACACGCCAGAUUCCCUGAGAGCCAUCAGCUCCACACUUGGGCCAUUAGGAUGGACGUGGCAUUUGGACUGGACCUGAUCACGCUCCAGGUGAGCACACCACAGAAAAGGAAAAAGCUGCUGCCUGCCAACUGGCUGAACCCUAAGUGCCUCAGCCCAAGACCUUGCUGGGAGAGGGAAGAGUACAAGAAAGGCAGUGUAUCAGCCUGGAUGUGCUCUCACAUAUAGCCAUGCUGGAAGAGGUGGGGAUGAGCAUCCUGGCCCACUUCCCUGCUCCCCAGCAGCACUGGUUAGGCUGUGACUACAAAAUAUGCAGCACAGGAUAUGCAUGAUGCUGAGCUGUGGUGGCCCAGGUGGGCAGUAAGCAAUUUUGGUCACUCACCUCAUGUUGGAGGCCAAGGGAGUACCAAAGCUGUCCUCUGAGCAGCAAGGGCUAUGCCGAGCACCCUUCCUUCGCCUCCCCCUCUCCUCCUCCCUCUCAGUCCAGGGGGCAUCUGUGGCUGAACUGGUCCCAGAGUCCGGCUCCAAGUGAGCCAGAGGAGCAAAGUUCUCCUCGAUCAGCUUCGCACUGUCUCGGAUCUGUCCCUGUACUUCUGGGGUGAGGGCUGGGAGAUCAAAAGUGAAAAAGGUCCCUUGAGUGCGGGCUGGGGAGGAGAGGAUGUCAAUGGAGUCCAGGCUGGUGUAAGAUGUGCCUUUGGCUCGAUGGGACUCCAUGAUGCUCUCAAAAUGCUUGCUGAAAGAGUCCAUGCCAUCCUUGGAGAGGCUGUGCCCUAGCAGGAAGGGCACUGGAGACUUGAGCAUACCCUGUGUGUCUCGAUCCAUGAUCCUAAAGGGAAAGAAAGCAAGAGGAACUGGUCACUGAGGAGCAAGAGGUCAAAGCCCCAAACAAAAGCCCAUGCGUUGCUCCAGAAGGAAAGUGGGGAGGGCAGAAGUCUCCUCUGAACAUCUGAAUACACCAGGCCUCCAAAGGAAAUGCCUUGUCUACCCAAGACAUCAUGGGAAGAGGGCUGUGCUGGCCUCCCUCCAGCCAUAUGCCUCUCCUUUAAUGCACCAUGGACUUUUGUUCCCUUAGUGGCUCAUCCUCCUAAGAAGCUUACGAGAUGGCUACUGCUCCCAGCCACUCGGCUUGAGCCUAGAUCCAAUAAACAGCUCAGGCACCAAAAACAGGAUGUAGUUCAGCUCCACUGCCAAACAAAUCCACAAGUGCCUGAAUUUUCCAUGAGCCUUCAGAGCUCCUGGCACCCACAGCACUUCUGGAGCCACUGAGGACAGCGUGACACCUUCCUCUACGUAUGUGACACCGCGGUCACUGAGCCAAGCCUGCCUGCAAGGUCAGCACAAGCAGCAGCUCCCCACACUUGUUAUGAAGGAGGAGGAAAGAGCAGGAUGGCCUGAUGGGAGUGAGAGCAUCUCAAAGGGACUGGGCUGCCUUCAGACCAGCUCAUCACCUCCCAGCCGAAGCACUGUGCUCUCUGAACACUGGCAAACCUCUGAGAUCACCCUGCAGGAGGCUCAGCUUGCAUGCAGCAUGGUUCUGUGUCCAGCCCAAUGCAGGAGCUCCUACAUCUUGAACCCCUGAGCAUUUUAUCUCGGAGAUGAGCCUGCCCAUCAAGUCUGAGCACGUGACACAGGGAUAUUUCCAACAGUGUCAGCCCUUUAGUCCUAUAAGUCCAAAUGCAAUCCUAAAAGCCUGUUUCACUUACAAGCUGCUAUCGCUUUAUUAGAGCACCAAAAAAGCACUUGUUAUGCCACUCUCUUUCCUGAUUAAAUGCAAAGAACUGA